CCCCCCCCCCCCCCCCCCCCCCCCCCCCCCCCCCCCCCCCCUCGCCGCAGGAAACAGAGGGGAUCGAGCUCCGGCCGCGGCCACUGAAGAAAACGGCGUCGGCAGGUUCCUCCGUCGCCACUCCGGGCUCCUCCACCCCGUCCCCUCCGACGGGCUCCAACGGCUCUCUCCGUCCAUUCCCUCGCCCCCGCACUGGCCAUCGAGCUCCAGGCCGACUCCAACAGUGCCGUGCAAUGGGAGAAAUUGACAAUGGGAUGCCUCAAAUUGGCAAGAGGUUUAGAAAUCCGGAUGAAGCUUGGCUGUUUUGGGUUGCAUAUGGAGGCCGUGUUGGGUUUGAUGUGAGGAAGAGAAACAAGCAUGUAAGUAAGAUGGAUGGUCAAGUGACUUCAUGCACAUUUCUUUGCUCCAAUGAGGGUAUACGAAAGAAAGGGAUAACAAUAGAUCAUGAGCCAAAACAUGUUCGAGCUGAAACAAGGACAAAUUGCAAAGCUCGCAUGAUUAUAUCAUUGGACGGAGUGCAAAGAAAUUACGAAGUCACAGAUAUUGUGUUGGAACACAAUCAUUGCCUUCAAUUGCCACAAACAUGUCACUUGAUGGCAUCACAAAGUAAGAUUUCCGAACUACAAGCUUUUGAAAUAGAAGCUGCCGAGGAUUCAGGAAUAAUGCCCCAAGCUGCACAUGAGUUUGCUUGUCGCCAAGUUGGUGGACCAUUUAACCUGGGCUACACUUGUCGUGAUCAAAAGAAUUAUUUGCGAACCAAGGACAAACAGAGUCAGGCUGGUAGUAUGUUGAAGUAUGUUCAUGACAAAAUGAUCGAGAACCCAUCUUUCCAAUAUGCUUUGCAGCUGGAUUGUGAGAAAGAUAUAGCCAACAUAUUUUGAGCUGAUGCUAAAAUGCUUCUUGACUAUGCACACUUUGGUGACGUUGUCACAUUUGAUACAACUUUUGGCACAAACAAAGAAUAUAGGCCAUUUGGUGUUUUUCUUGGGCUCAAUCAGUUUAGAGAAACCACCAUUUUUUGCGCGGCAUUGCUAUUUGAUGAAACAUUUGAGUCAUUUAAAUGGCUUUUUGACACUUUUUUAGCUGCACAUAAUGGGAGCCAAUCUAGAACUAUUUAUACGGAUCAAGAUGCGGCCAGGGGAAAGCUAUAGAUAAUGUCUUCACGGAAUCAUAUCAUGGAUUGUGCACCUUUCGUAUAAUGCAGAAUGUUGUUAAGCA
Non-coding RNA from Aegilops tauschii subsp. strangulata, 1218 nucleotides. The record is from RefSeq and is a predicted model, not a curated record. NCBI's taxonomy places the organism in Eukaryota, Viridiplantae, Streptophyta, Magnoliopsida, Poales, Poaceae.